Molecule: unclassified non-coding RNA, 339 nt
Filed under: Hevea brasiliensis (rubber tree)
Lineage: Eukaryota; Viridiplantae; Streptophyta; Magnoliopsida; Malpighiales; Euphorbiaceae
Source: RNAcentral
AUUAUUUUCUACAAGGCAUAGCGAAGCAAGAAAAAAAAAAUGAAAAUUGUAUUCACAACAUCUAUCCUUAUUAAAUGGUGGAUUUAAUCUUGCAUCUUGCAGAAGUAUCUCAACAACUCUCAUGGUGGGUCUUGCAUCUUUCUCCUCAUGGACACAUUUUAAAGCCACCUCAAUAAGAAUUUUCAUCUGGUUCUUGUCAUAACUUCCUUCUAAUUUGGGGUAAAAUCUUUUCCAUCCUGAGGUACAUUGCAGUAGCUUCCUUAACCGUGCCUUCACCUAUGUCUUCUGUCCUACAUGUCGGCUGUUGGGUUACUUUAGUUACUAUCUCCAAUAAUGCCA